RNAcentral lists this long non-coding RNA (1047 nucleotides) under Homo sapiens (human). RNAcentral's name for it is "HSALNT0097814". Lineage: Eukaryota; Metazoa; Chordata; Mammalia; Primates; Hominidae. The record is from RNAcentral.
UAGGGCAUUGUAGCUGGGUGAAGGGUACUGCUUCUUGGCUCUGUGCCCAUGCUCUGGCCACUCCCCCUCCCUGCCUGAGGGUAACAGGGAAAUGGGAGGGCCUUUGGGCUGGGGACAACCCUGCUGCUUGCACUCUGCAUAGAGAAAGCAUGAGGAGAACAGAGGAAGAGAGAGCAGGAAAGAAACAGAAGAUGCAGGCUGAUGGUUCAGAAGAUCGGGCAGGAAGCAGCCUCAAUGAGGGUCUAUCACAGCCUACAGACAGCACAGAAACCAUCCCAACACAGCUGCCCUGCAAGCUGGCAUCUACCCCAGGAUACAGCCUGCCCGAGGGCUCAAAACCCCAGGAUUGCAGUUUCCCUUCUGUCUGGGCCCUCAGGUCUCUUUGCUACCAGACUGUGAGAAUGGUUUCCACCUGGGGACCCAGAGCACUACCAGCAUCCAGCACAGGUGUACAACAGACAUUUGUGGGAUGAAUGAACACAGGAUAAAUGAAGACUUCUAGAAACCCUUCCUCCUCUACACAAGGCUCCAGGCAUCCUUAUAAAUUUAUAAUCUUAUAAAUUAAAGAUGACUCCUUCUUGACUAUAAGUAGAAAGAAGGCUUCAGUUAAGUGAAGAUCCAGUUAAGUCAGGUUUACUCUGUCCAAGAAGCUCAACUUUUGCCACCCAGUUUUAACACCUGAUGGUGGCACAGUUGCACCACAUACAAUUUUCAGGACUCUGAUGAAUGCGCUGGGCGUUUCUGCACUAACCCUCCUAACCAGUGUGCCAAUGGGAUUUGGCAAAACUAUGAGCAGUGACAGAAUGACAGAACCAAGGAAUCAUGAGAUUUGCUAUAAGCAAGACAGAGAGCCAGGAAAUGAGGAGGGGAGAGCGCUCUGGGCUGUGACUCUGGGUUGGCUGGAGCACACCCCGGAGUGGCACAGGGCUCAGGGCUGGCACUUCCUCCAAGACUUGCUCUGGGGCCAGGUCCAAGACUACAAUCUCCUUGCUGUUUUUCCAUGGCAGUAGCUUAGACUGUAGUUCUCUGCCAUGAAGUGGUUCAGAG